AUGUGGCAAUGGGGGUCAUCGGUCCCCUGGCUCCUGUGCCCAGGGUCAGGGGGAGUGAGACACUUUGGCUCCCAGCAGUGUCUCAGCAUUCCAGCCCCUACUGCUUUGGCCCACACCCUCCUGUCAGAUUUGAAAAGUAGGAGCUGUCUCCCUCUAGGCUUCAGGAACCUGAGCAGCUCUGGGAAGAGGACAGAUUUGAGCCAACUUGAACCCAGACGCCUUGGCUAUGGCCAGUCAGUCCUCAGGUCCCUAGGAAGACGACUGCCCUUGUCACUGUCCAUGCGUUUGGUCCCCCAGCUGCCCAGGCUCCUCUCUGUACCCUGUGUCCUCCAACUGGCCUCACUGCCCCGCAGGCUCCCCCAUCAUCUUCCUCUCACCCACCUCUGGCCCUGCCGCAAGGAUGCCUGGGGAGUGGGAAUGGGCAGGGAGCGGAAUGCAUUGCUCCCAUGUGAUCUGCCAUGCUUCAGAGACGAGGCCUUGGGCCUGAACUCCAGCCAGGGCGAGGAGGCUGGGGUGGCUUGGCUGCUCCUGCUGCUGCCCCCUUCCCCUCCCUACGCAUGGUACCGGUUCAGCAACUCCAUUCAUUCCUCAAACAUCCACUGGUGCAGACUCCGUGCCAGGCAUGACGCCAAGAACCAGGAAUGCAAGGAUGAAUGGGACCCAGCAGCUGGCCUCUGGGGCUCACCGGGAAGAGGACAAAUCGCAGACAGUGGGACGGGGUGGGGACAGGGCGCUCGCCGGACUGUGAGUGGAUGGGGAGACUUCCCAGAGGAGGCAACGUCUGGGUCAUGCACGACGUACAGGUAUCGGCCGGCAGGAAAGCAGAGCUGUGGGUGGGAGUGGAGGCAGGGAGGAUGUGAGGCGGCAGAGACGCCAGCUGACUUUCGGGAACCACAAGGCUGUGUUAGGAGAGCCAGGGUGCGGCUGCAUCCCGCCCCCUCAGGCUGUGCUGCCCCAGGACCUGCCUCCUUCCUCCAACCUCUUCCCACAAAACCCUGGCCCCUGCAGCCCACGGGGUCCCACUCAGGUGAGUGGCGCAUGAAUUCAUGUGUAGUUUUUCCAGAUGACCCACAGGUGCCAUAG
RNAcentral lists this long non-coding RNA (1083 nucleotides) under Oryctolagus cuniculus (rabbit). Its description in RNAcentral is "lncRNA (ENSOCUG00000029828.1)". The record is from RNAcentral. Lineage: Eukaryota; Metazoa; Chordata; Mammalia; Lagomorpha; Leporidae.